Caenorhabditis brenneri is the source of this 72-nucleotide non-coding RNA. The record is from the annotation of a GenBank genome assembly. Lineage: Eukaryota; Metazoa; Nematoda; Chromadorea; Rhabditida; Rhabditidae.
GCAUUCUUGGCGCAGUGGAUAGCGCCGACGGCCACCAAUCCAAUGGCGGGGGUUCGACCCCGCGAGCAGACA